GAUGAACGCUGGCGGCGUGCCUAAUACAUGCAAGUCGAGCGAACGGACGAGAAGCUUGCUUCUCUGAUGUUAGCGGCGGACGGGUGAGUAACACGUGGAUAACCUACCUAUAAGACUGGGAUAACUUCGGGAAACCGUAUCUAAUACCGGAGAAUAUUUUGAACCGCAUGGUUCAAAAGUGAAAGACGGUCUUGCUGUCACGUAUAGAUGGAUCCGCGCUGCAUUAGCUAGUUGGUAAGGUAACGGCUUACCAAGGCAACGAUGCAUAGCCGACCUGAUAGGGUGAUCGCCCACCUGGGAACUUAGACACGGUCCAGACUCCUACGGGAGGCCGCAGUAGGGAAUCUUCCGCAAUGGGCGAAAGCAUGACAGAGCAACCCCGCGCGAGUGAUGAAGGUCUUCGGAUCGUAAAACUCUGUUAUUAGGGAAGAACAUAUUUGUAAGUAACUGUGCACAUCUUGACGGUACCUAAUCAGAAAGCCCCGGCUAACUACGUG
This 497-nucleotide ribosomal RNA is filed under the name uncultured bacterium. Its description in RNAcentral is "partial 16S ribosomal RNA". It matches the Rfam family "Bacterial small subunit ribosomal RNA", at positions 28 to 507 of the family's 1533-position model. The record is from RNAcentral.